This is a small nuclear RNA of Choloepus hoffmanni (Hoffmann's two-fingered sloth), 107 nucleotides long. The record is from Ensembl. Lineage: Eukaryota; Metazoa; Chordata; Mammalia; Pilosa; Megalonychidae.
GUGCUUGCUUCAGCAGCACAUAUACUAAAAUUGGAAUGAUACACAGAUGAUUAGCAUGGCACCUGCAUGAAGAUGACAUGCAAAUUCAUGAAACAUUCCACAUUUUU